This 313-nucleotide ribosomal RNA is filed under the name uncultured bacterium. Its description in RNAcentral is "bacterial SSU rRNA". It matches the Rfam family "Bacterial small subunit ribosomal RNA", at positions 30 to 341 of the family's 1533-position model. The record is from RNAcentral.
AUUGAACGCUGGCGGCAUGCCUUACACAUGCAAGUCGAACGGCAGCGGACCUUCGGGUGCCGGCGAGUGGCGAACGGGUGAGUAAUAUAUCGGAACGUACCUUUCAGUGGGGGAUAACGUAGCGAAAGUUACGCUAAUACCGCAUAUUCUGUGAGCAGGAAAGCAGGGGAUCGCAAGACCUUGCGCUGAUUGAGCCGGCCGAUAUCAGGUUAGCUAGUUGGUGAGGUAAGGACUCACCAAGGCGACGAUCUGUAGCGGGUCGUGAGAGGAUGAUCCGCCACACUGGAACUGACACACGGUCCACGACGUCCUA